AUGACGGGAGCUUGCUCCUUGAUUCAGCGGCGGACGGGUGAGUAAUGCCUAGGAAUCUGCCUGGUAGUGGGGGACAACGUUUCGAAAGGAACGCUAAUACCGCAUACGUCCUACGGGAGAAAGUGGGGGAUCUUCGGACCUCACGCUAUCAGAUGAGCCUAGGUCGGAUUAGCUAGUUGGUGAGGUAAUGGCUCACCAAGGCGACGAUCCGUAACUGGUCUGAGAGGAUGAUCAGUCACACUGGAACUGAGACACGGUCCAGACUCCUACGGGAGGCAGCAGUGGGGAAUAUUGGACAAUGGGCGAAAGCCUGAUCCAGCCAUGCCGCGUGUGUGAAGAAGGUCUUCGGAUUGUAAAGCACUUUAAGUUGGGAGGAAGGGCAGUAAGUUAAUACCUUGCUGUUUUGACGUUACCGACAGAAUAAGCACCGGCUAACUCUGUGCCAGCAGCCGCGGUAAUACAGAGGGUGCAAGCGUUAAUCGGAAUUACUGGGCGUAAAGCGCGCGUAGGUGGUUCGUUAAGUUGGAUGUGAAAGCCCCGGGCUCAACCUGGGAACUGCAUCCAAAACUGGCGAGCUAGAGUACGGUAGAGGGUGGUGGAAUUUCCUGUGUAGCGGUGAAAUGCGUAGAUAUAGGAAGGAACACCAGUGGCGAAGGCGACCACCUGGACUGAUACUGACACUGAGG
This 686-nucleotide ribosomal RNA is filed under the name Pseudomonas sp. FRBN4. Its description in RNAcentral is "bacterial SSU rRNA". It matches the Rfam family "Bacterial small subunit ribosomal RNA", at positions 69 to 751 of the family's 1533-position model. The record is from RNAcentral. Lineage: Bacteria; Pseudomonadati; Pseudomonadota; Gammaproteobacteria; Pseudomonadales; Pseudomonadaceae.